AAUUGUGUAAAGUUGUUUUUAUUAUUAAAAUCGUUUAACGUGUAAUAAUGUUAAUACUAAUAACAUUAUUUAAGAGAUAACACAUAUUUCAUAGUAAAAAUUUGAUUUCUUCUAGUGAAACUGUAGGAAAGAUGUAGAAUUAUCUAUGAGGUUAUCUAGAAGGAGCCAAAGGAUAUUAAUAAAGGAAAAGCAACAAGAAACGUGGUGAAAAGGACCUCUUUCUAGAAACUUUGAAGCUGUGCAUUGAAUAAUACCUAAAAACUAUCUCGGAAACUACUUAACUGAAACUGUAGGAAAGAUCUACAAUUAUCUAGAUUCAUCACUAAUUAUGAGGUUAUCUAGAAGGAGCCAAAGGAUAUUAAUAGAGGAAAAGCAACAAGAAACGUGGUGAAAAGGACCUCUUUCUAGAAUCUUUGAAGCUGUGCAUUGAAUAAUACCCAAAAACUAUCUCGGAAACUACUUAACGGAAACAGUACAAAGGAUGGACAAUUAUUUAGAUUCAUCACUAAUUGUGAGGUUAUCUAAGAGGAGCCAAAGCCAAAGGAUAUUAAUAGAGGAAACGUCAUGAAGAGGAGCUAGCUCUAGAAUCGUUGAAUCUGUACAUAUUGAAUUCUAAAUAAUACCCAAAAACUGUCUUGGAACCUUCUUAAUGGAAAUGGUAUGAAGCAAGAACAACUAUCCAGAUUCAUCACUAAUUGUGAGGUUAUUAGAAGGAGUCAAAGAUUAUUGAUAGACGAAAAGUAAUAAGAAACGUGCUUGAUCUAGAAUCGUUGAAGCUGUGCACUGAAUUCUAAAUAAUACCCAAAAACUAUCCUGGAAACUACUUAACGCCUAUCUGAAAGCGAAUCUGUGGAAGAUGUAACAUUUUCUUUGGAAGUGGUUGCUUAUUCUUAUGUCCAAAACAAGAGCUGUAGCUCUUAUGCUACAUCUAGGCAAAUGAAAUAAUUCUUAAAAAACAA
Molecule: long non-coding RNA, 959 nt
Filed under: Onthophagus taurus
Lineage: Eukaryota; Metazoa; Arthropoda; Insecta; Coleoptera; Scarabaeidae
Description: uncharacterized LOC111419677, transcript variant X4
Source: RNAcentral